ACGGGUGCGGAACACGUACGCAACCUUCCUUUAAGCGGAGAAUAGCCCAGGGAAACUUGGAUUAAUACUCCAUAAGAUUAUGGUGUGGCAUCACACAGUAAUUAAAGCUCCGGCACUUAAAGAUGGGCGUGCGGCUGAUUAGGUAGUUGGCGGGGUAACGGCCCACCAAGCCUACGAUCAGUAACUGGUGUGAGAGCACGACCAGUCACACGGGCACUGAGACACGGGCCCGACUCCUACGGGAGGCAGCAGUAAGGAAUAUUGGUCAAUGGACGCAAGUCUGAACCAGCCAUGCCGCGUGGAGGAUGAAGGCCCUCUGGGUUGUAAACUUCUUUUAUUUGGGAAGAAACCCAUCUUUUCUAAGGUGGUUGACGGUACCAGAUGAAUAAGCACCGGCUAACUCCGUGCCAGCAGCCGCGGUAAUACGGAGGGUGCAAGCGUUAUCCGGAUUCACUGGGUUUAAAGGGUGCGUAGGUGGGCAGGUAAGUCAGUGGUGAAAUCUCCGGGCUUAACCCGGAAACUGCCGUUGAUACUAUCUGUCUUGAAUGUAGUGGAGGUGAGCGGAAUAUGUCAUGUAGC
Molecule: ribosomal RNA, 579 nt
Filed under: uncultured Chitinophagaceae bacterium
Lineage: Bacteria; Pseudomonadati; Bacteroidota; Chitinophagia; Chitinophagales; Chitinophagaceae
Description: bacterial SSU rRNA
Rfam family: Bacterial small subunit ribosomal RNA
Source: RNAcentral